Long non-coding RNA from Macaca fascicularis (crab-eating macaque), 3764 nucleotides. NCBI's taxonomy places the organism in Eukaryota, Metazoa, Chordata, Mammalia, Primates, Cercopithecidae. The record is from Ensembl.
GACCCUGGCACCAAGUAAGAGCUCAGAAGCAGUUACAGCCAACAUGAAUACAGGGGCUUGCUGUGUGCCAGACGCAGUUCUAGGGGCUUUGCAUCAUAUUAUCUCUUUUUAUCUUUAUAACAGCCUUUAUGAGGCAGACACCAUUUCAUCUCCACUUUACAAGUGAGGAAACCCAGACACAUGAGGUUAAGAAAGUUACCCACGACUUUCUGAUCAAGAGAGACAGAAGUCCAAGAUUAGCGACUACUGUUUUCUCCUUUCCUCUCAUUAUAUAGUCAAAGAAUGAAGAAAAGGAGAUCCAUGAUGAGUGAAAAUUUCCCAGGAGCUACUUUCUAACUGUAUUUCAUUUUAUCCGCAAAACAAAUCUGAGAUAGAGCAGAAUUGUUCUCCUUCUACAGAAGGAGCAUGGAGGGCUUAAGGGAUGUAAAGAGGGCAAGUGCAUUUAUGUGGAGGUCCGUCCUGUGUCCUAUUCCAAAACCCAUUCUUGCGUCUCAAGAGUAAGUUCUAACAGGGGAGUUAAGGGUUAACCAGCUCAGGCUGGAAGAGCUGAAUCACCCAAUUAAAGGAGACUUGCUGCUUUGAUGAGAAGAUCUGAUCCAAAACUGCUGGGGUGACUCUCCUUGACCCUACCACUUGGGCAGCUUGAUUUAUCUUUUCUGUAUCCCUGACCUUGAUGUUGAAAUCAUUACUCAACCCUCAGUGAAGCUCUUAACUGGCUUUUUUUGAAAUGACUCAUGCAUCGGGGUCCAUCCAGCCAUCUUGACUUUGUAGGGUCUGAGGCCCUGAAUUAGCUCCUGAGAACCCAGUGCCCAAACGGGUGUCCCCAGGUGGGUCUGGCGGACCGUAGGUGGCAGCUUUGUUGGUUCUCCUUCACUUCGCUUCUCUCUGGAUGUGCGCAUACGUUUUCUCUCAUUGCUAAGGCACGCCCCAAGCUUUUUGCUUAUUUGUUUUUAUUUUCAUCUUAAAAUCACCCCUGCACUGUUCUACCCCUCCCAUCAACCUACCUAUAUGCAUAAAUCUUCUCUAGUUUUGAUCAGCUGUCUUUUUUUCUCCUCCAAGCUACCCUCUCUUCCCUUCUCACUAAAUAAAUUCUUAAAUGAGAAUCAUGAUGUAGUCACUUGAUCACCUGAAUUCGGUCCCUCCCCCAGCUCUGCACUUUCAAAGCCUAUCCCCUUUCCACUCUCCACUCCCAGAGGGCAGGUAAAGCUGUGGGCCCCUCCCUCCCUCCUGGACACUCCUCCAGCCCAGAAGCUGGCUCUGUGGUUUCUGCACUCCUUUUACUGCCUUUUUCAUUUUCUUUUGCUGGCUCUCCUUAGAGCUUAAAUGCAGGUACUUCCUGCAAAUGUGUGUUCCUAUUCCUCCUCAGUACACCACCUUCCUUCUGAUUUCAUCCAACUUUAUGGCUUCAACUGUUGCCUCUGGGUGUCUGGCUGCUUCUAAACUAUUGUCUAGCCUGACUGCUUUCCCGAGACCAGAGCUUGGUUUGCAGCUGCGGAACGGGUGCGCUGAAGCCUCCUCUGGCAUGCAAAUGGUGUUGCACCUUGUCAGCAACGCCGUUCCUGUGCUGCCUUCUCUUAGAGGCUCCGGCUUCAAAUUGGAGAGCCCGUUUCAGCUCCUUUCAAGCACUGACCAAACCAUGGAAAUUCUAUUUCUGAACUUCUCAAACCUUUUCACCUUCUUUCCACUGUCCUAGCAUAGGCUUUUCGUAUGUUCUAUCUUGAUUAUUGUGAUAGUUUCUCAAUAGAUCUCUUUGAAUGUUAUCUUUGACUCUCAGUGAUACAGGUACAGAGCAAAUCGUAUCAUUUCCUGAAAACUUUCUGUGAGACGCUUCUUGCAAAUUAAGUAAAAUUGCAAUUCUGUAACCUGUGGUGAAAUGCCCCUUUCAUUUAGCCCAGCCUCCAUCCCGGCCCCAUUGCUGCCCAGGGUCCCUUCUCCUGUCACACCCUGGUUGCUUUCUCCUAACUGGAAGGCUCCUCUCUGCCUGGCAAUCAAUAUACCACUCUGCAUCGGAGGCUGGGAAGCAAUUUUAGGAGGCUUUCCUGGAUAUCCCCAGGAGGAAUCAUAGUCACGACAGAAUUAGGGGCAGCAGGUUAGCCUAUAAGUUAGGGUCAAAUCGUGUUUACCAGAGAUAGUGCAUUCUUUGCACUAAACAUCAUGAGUCUAGUAUUAAAAUGUCGUUUUUCUUUUCUACACUCAGUGUUGUAGCAGGAGACCAGGAAGUUAAUUGUGAUUUCCUUCCCGAGUCAAAAAAGAAAAACUCACAAGAUAUGGGCACUUUGAUCCUAUUGCGCAAGUUUUCAUUGAGUGUCUGGGUUAUUCCACAAUGGGAUGUAAAGACUGUAGAUUCCAAGGCAUAUCUCACCCUCAAGAAGCCUAUAUUUGGACUGGGAAAGAGAGAUUUGUACCAUAUGACAUCAUUUCAUUAAAUGUGUGGUGCCGACAGGACUGUGUUAAUCUGUGACAUUUUACUCUUUUUGGUUUAAACAUUUGUUUUUCAAUAUUAUGAUUUUAAAUUUUGGAUGUAUUGGAAACAUGGGAAUAGUGCCUUUCACCUCUCUCCAAUUUCCUUUAUUUUAUUUUUUAAAAUUAACACAUAAUAAUUGCACAAAUUUAUGGGGUACAUAGUGAUGUUUUGAUACACACAAUAUAUAGUGAUUCUCCUUUCUCUUUACUCAGAGGCCAAGGUGGAGAUGGUGGUCUCCCAGAUGUUCGUAAAGGUCAUUUUAGCAAAAAUAUUUUUUUAAUUAAGUGUUUUAGUAUAAACCAUCUUCAACUGUUUUCCAUUAUACAAGCUGUAAUCCAUCCAUGCCUUUAUUCAUUCAUGCAUUAAGGGCCCACUGAAUGCCACAUUCACUUAUGGUGAGAAUGAGCUCAGGCCCUUCCCAGGAAAGCUGGUAUUGACCAUCUGUCUGAACAUCUAAACAUUGUCUGAACAUCGAAGCUACAACACACUAAAAGAUGAUUCCUGGGGCCUGCUGCUUUGCUUCUUUCUACCUGCUCCACUCCACUGUGGCUCCAUUUGUUCUGAAGGCAGGUGUAGCCUUUAGCAGUCUGCUCACUUGUCUGGCUUCUUUGGAAGGUGGGCGUUGAUAGAUUCAAAGAACGGCAAGCAGAGAGCAACGUCUUUACACCAUGAACUAUGGCCAGCAGCCAUGUGCAUUUGUUAGGUCUUUUUAGUAGCAUAUUUGUAUUAAAACAUCAACAAACUUACACCUACCCUGAAUCUUACCAAAGCAGCUCCAAAUGGAAUUUUUCAGUAAAUAUUCACACCAGAGAGCUUUAAACAUUAGACUAGAAAGUCAGAAGUGGUCAGAGUAGGACCACUGCUCACAGCUCUAUCUUGGCAGGGUACCCAGCGAUCCUCAGUUAGAUUUUCAGACUCUUUAGAGUGGGAUCUAGAAGAGAAAUCUUUCUUCUGCUAAUAUUGCUCACCUCUUGUAACAGACAUUGCAGGUACCCUCUCCAAGCACAGUUUCUCAGCACUGGCCUCUAUUCUCAGAUGACUGCUCACUGCAGACACCUGUGAUUCUUUCAGGGUGGUUGCGGGGACAUGCAGGGUCUGUGCCUAGGGCAAGCAGAGGUGCCAGGCUUACUGCCUCAAGACAAAAUGUUCCAAUGAAGGCUAGAGAGUUGGCAUUACUCCCUCUCAGCUUGCCUUGGGCGUGAGCUUCAGUUGUGCACCGUGGCAACUGACUUGAUCACCUCCUAAAUCCUCCUCCGAUGUCUCCUGGGAUUGUCUCCCAAAUAAACUACUUGCACUCAAA